Molecule: ribosomal RNA, 425 nt
Filed under: uncultured bacterium
Lineage: Bacteria
Description: bacterial SSU rRNA
Rfam family: Bacterial small subunit ribosomal RNA
Source: RNAcentral
AGGGAAUCUUCCGCAAUGGACGAAAGUCUGACGGAGCAACGCCGCGUGAGUGAUGAAGGCCUUCGGGUCGUAAAACUCUGUUGUCAGGGAAGAACAAGUACCGGAGUAACUGCCGGUACCUUGACGGUACCUGACCAGAAAGCCACGGCUAACUACGUGCCAGCAGCCGCGGUAAUACGUAGGUGGCAAGCGUUGUCCGGAAUUAUUGGGCGUAAAGCGCGCGCAGGCGGUCCUUUAAGUCUGAUGUGAAAGCCCACGGCUCAACCGUGGAGGGUCAUUGGAAACUGGGGGACUUGAGUGCAGAAGAGGAAAGCGGAAUUCCACGUGUAGCGGUGAAAUGCGUAGAGAUGUGGAGGAACACCAGUGGCGAAGGCGGUUCUCUGGACUGUAACUGACGCUGAGGCACGAAAGCGUGGGUAGCAAAC